AAAUUUUAAAAAAAAACUUAAAGUAAAUAUCUCUAUAAAUUAAUAUUUAUUAAUAUUUUGGUUCCGAGUCCCGACAUUAUUAAUUUAUAGAGGUUUUACUUAUAUUGAUCUUCUAAGAGAUGAACGUAAAUUUCUAAUAUGGACUUAAAUGGGUGAUUGGUUGGGCUGUAACUCUAGAAUUUUUGCUGUAGAGAUUUUGCUGUAGCUGUGUUGGUUGUAGCUGUAACUGUUAUUGCUGUAAAAUUAUUGCUGUAAGUUUUGAACUUUAAAUAUUUAUAAAAAAUGGAUUAAUAAAUAUAAUAAUUGUAAUAAGAGUUUAU
This 320-nucleotide small RNA is filed under the name Arabidopsis thaliana (thale cress). Its description in RNAcentral is "ATSL283410". The record is from RNAcentral. Lineage: Eukaryota; Viridiplantae; Streptophyta; Magnoliopsida; Brassicales; Brassicaceae.